GAUGAACGCUGGCGGCGUGCCUAAUACAUGCAAGUCGAGCGAACGGACGAGAAGCUUGCUUUUCUGAUGUUAGCGGCGGACGGGUGAGUAACACGUGGAUAACCUACCUAUAAGACUGGGAUAACUUCGGGAAACCGGAGCUAAUACCGGAUAAUAUUUUGAACCGCAUGGUUAAAAAGUGAAAGACGGUCUUGCUGUCACUUAUAGAUGGAUCCGCGCUGCAUUAGCUAGUUGGUAAGGUAACGGCUUACCAAGGCAACGAUGCAUAGCCGACCUGAGAGGGUGAUCGGCCACACUGGAACUGAGACACGGUCCAGACUCCUACGGGAGGCAGCAGUAGGGAAUCUUCCGCAAUGGGCGAAAGCCUGACGGAGCAACGCCGCGUGAGUGAUGAAGGUCUUCGGAUCGUAAAACUCUGUUAUUAGGGAAGAACAUAUGUGUAAGUAACUGUGCACAUCUUGACGGUACCUAAUCAGAAAGCCACGGCUAACUACGUG
Molecule: ribosomal RNA, 497 nt
Filed under: uncultured bacterium
Lineage: Bacteria
Description: partial 16S ribosomal RNA
Rfam family: Bacterial small subunit ribosomal RNA
Source: RNAcentral